This is an RNA transcript of Triticum aestivum (bread wheat), 1102 nucleotides long. It is a transcript of the gene named DNA-binding protein MNB1B, with no coding region annotated. NCBI's taxonomy places the organism in Eukaryota, Viridiplantae, Streptophyta, Magnoliopsida, Poales, Poaceae. The transcript has 8 exons. The record is from RefSeq and is a predicted model, not a curated record.
GUGCCCCUUCGUGGGCCGGCCCACCUCGCGCUGUAGCGAGCGCCGCGUCUCUUAAUCGGCGCCUGCAGGAGCUCCCCUCUUUUAUGCCCUAGGUGCAGCUCUCCUCGUUUCCUUUCCCCGGAACUCCUCAAUUCGGGCGCUCGAUUCGAUUCCUGGCUCGCCUCGGGCCGAUCUCACCUGUUGUUCAGACAUGACUGCUUGCAAGCAGACCACAUCCAUGGGCGCUGCCGCCAGGGACGAGGCCGAUAGCAAGUCGGCAGCGAAGAGAGAUGGAGCGGAGGAGCGGAAGUCCUCGACCAAGUGCAGGAAGGGGAAGAAAGCCAAGGGCAAGUUGGCGGUGAAGAGCAAUGGUGCGGAGAAGCCCAAGACCCAUGACCUUUCCGAUGUUACACGCGGGUUGGCGGUGAUGAGCAUUGCAAUGGAGAAGUCGUUGGAUGAAGAGCUCGCCCAGCUCGCCCUGUUCACCUACCAGAACAUCUUCUGGAUGGACAACUUCAAAGGCGUCUAUGACAAGCCGUCCGUAGAUGCUAUUAAAAGGAAAGCUGCUGAAAACUGGAAAUUCUUUAGCGAUUCGGACAAAGCCCCUUAUGUAGCCAUUGCACGUGUGAACAGAAUACUCAUUGCUGAGGCAAACGAGUUCAAGAAGAUUCCUUUCCCUUAUAGACACUGAAGUUGACGCUCGCGAUGACGGACAAGAUGAUGAAUCUGAAAAUGUGAACAGACAAGAUCUUUAAGAUGUGUUUGAAUAGAAAUGUCUUGUUAGAUGGCAGAAUUACUGCAACCAACUCCACAAAACCUGAUUCUGUCUGAGCGGCACUUGGAGGGUUGAGAUGCAAGUGCAGUUCAAGCUUCCCAUAUGGACAAUACUAGUUUAAAAUACGUUUGUGCUCCUGGCUUUAGAUGUUGAAGUCUUUUGCAUAUUGUUAUGUUUGGUUAGUAAAUUUGAAUGGCCGUUAAGUUAUUUCACUACUAAGCCCUGUGAUGACAUUGUGAGAAUGCAAGGGGCUGACCCCUACCAAGAGGGGGCAUGUUGUAUUAUGUACUACUAACCUCGUGAGAUGUACAUUGCAGUAUUUAACUAUGGAAAUAGUAAUUCAGAACU